This 254-nucleotide long non-coding RNA is filed under the name Lathyrus oleraceus (garden pea). RNAcentral's name for it is "Pisum sativum (pea) long non-coding RNA (PSAT_LNC029267)". Lineage: Eukaryota; Viridiplantae; Streptophyta; Magnoliopsida; Fabales; Fabaceae. The record is from RNAcentral.
UUAAACUUUAAAAAUUCCCUCCAAAAAUCAAGUGAAUUUCCAAAUGAUCAUAUGAUGAUAAUGCAUGUCAUGUAAUGCAAGAUUUGGAAAGUAGAAGUCAAGAGAAGAAUGUACAAAAAAGAGCCACUUGAAUUGGAGCUUUGGUUGAGAAGUUAUGCACAUUUGAAUCUUCAAGUACACUUUGCCAUGAUUUGAUCAUAUCUCCUUAACCACACAUGAGAGAUUGAUGAUCUUGGACUUUUUGGAAAUGGGAG